This 274-nucleotide ribosomal RNA is filed under the name uncultured bacterium. Its description in RNAcentral is "partial 16S ribosomal RNA". It matches the Rfam family "Bacterial small subunit ribosomal RNA", at positions 81 to 353 of the family's 1533-position model. The record is from RNAcentral.
AAGUUUGAUGGCGACCGGCGCACGGGUGAGGUAACACGUAUCCAACCUGCCGAUGACUCGGGGAUAGCCUUUCGAAAGAAAGAUUAAUACCCGAUGGCAUAGUUCUUCCGCAUGGUAGAACUAUUAAAGGAUUUCGGUCAUCGAUGGGGAUGCGUUCCAUUAGGUUGUUGGCGGGGUAACGGCCCACCAAGCCUUCGAUGGAUAGGGGUUCUGAGAGGAAGGUCCCCCACAUUGGAACUGAGACACGGUCCAAACUCCUACGGGAGGCAGCAUG